Molecule: transfer RNA, 76 nt
Filed under: Kordia algicida OT-1
Lineage: Bacteria; Pseudomonadati; Bacteroidota; Flavobacteriia; Flavobacteriales; Flavobacteriaceae
Also listed under: 2 other names
Description: tRNA-Gly
Rfam family: tRNA
About the family: Transfer RNA (tRNA) molecules are approximately 80 nucleotides in length. Their secondary structure includes four short double-helical elements and three loops (D, anti-codon, and T loops).
Source: RNAcentral
GCGAAAAUAGCUCAGCUGGUAGAGCGCAACCUUGCCAAGGUUGAGGUCGCGGGUUCGAGCCCCGUUUUUCGCUCAA